ACUGGUUGACCCAGAAGGCCCUUAUCGGUGCUUUCAUUGGAGGGCUUAGGCCCGAACUCGCAGAUGGGAUAUGCAUGUUCCGGCCCAAAACUUUAAAGGAUGCAAUCGGCUUGGCCCGCAUACAUGAAGAAUAGGUGGAUCGCCAGAAAAGAUUGAACCGACUGGAGUGAGUUAUAGUCGGCCCGAGCGUGACGCCAGCCGCUUCCAACACACAAAUCGUUCGAAGUCAGCAAACCCUAACCGGCCCAAACUCUAUAAAACACAUCUCCUAGGAUGAGAUGCAACGGUGGCAUGCCCAAGGUCUUUGUUUCAACUGCGAUGAGAGGUUCACCAUAGGUCAUCGAUGUCGCAAACCGCAAUUGCUAAUACGCGAAGGCGAGAGCAUCAAAGAGGAAGAAGCCGACGCUGAUGAUCCAGAGAUUUCACUCAUGCCCUCACUGGAUGGCCUACGGCACGAAUGAUGAAGGUUUCUGCCUCGAUACGAAGACAGAGGUUCACGACCUCAUCGACAGUGGGUCUAUCCACAAUUUUCUUAGCGAUCGAGUCACCGACCGUCUAUAGCUUCCUGUGAUUUUGACCCCUUUGUUUCUAGUGAAGAUCGCGAACGAAGAACCCAUGAGAUGCUCUAAUCGAUUCAAGAAUGUUCCAAUGUCAAUCCAAGGUAUCCCUUUUACUCUUAUGUUUUACUCAUUACCACUGACUGGGCUUGAUGUAGUGCUAGUGCGAUUGGAAAAAGCUGACUAUGGAGUUCUAGUGGAUGAAUAAGCCGCAAAAACAGCGUGAGUUAGGCGCGCCUCCCCUCCAGGCGGCAUCUCUGAAGGAGAUCAACUGAGCAUGUCCAAGCCACUACUCCAUAUAUGUGGUCUGCUUCAUGGCCGAAGGCAAGAAUCCCUCUUUGGCAGACCGACCAAACUUACAGAAUCUGUUGAAGCAAUUUUUUGAGCUGUUCAGUGAGCCUAAUCAGCUACCACCGCAGAGAGACAUCGAACACCAGAUUCCUCUCAAGGAUGGCACCGAAUCCAUCAACGUUUGACCAUAUCGAUACGCCUACUUUUAGAAGUUAGAAAUUGAGAGACAAGUUUCAGAUAUACUUAAUUCCAGACUCAUACGUCCAAGCACUAGUCCCUUCUCCUCUCCAGUUUUGUUAGCGAGAAAGAAGGAUGUGACUUGGCAAUUCUGUAUUGAUUACAGAGCCCUCAAUGCAGUCACUAUCAAAGAUUGUUUUCCCUUUCUUACCGUGGAGGACAUGUUAGAUGAACUAUAUGGGGCGAUUUAUUUCACCAAAUUGGACCUCGCUGCCGGGUACCAUCAAGUGCGGGUCCACCCCUUCGACAUCCAGAAAAUCGCUUUCUGGACCCACAAUGGACACUAUGAAUAUCUGAAAGCAGGAGUUUUCAGAAGUCUUGUUGAACCAAGGAGCGAGGAUCAAUUUAUCGGUAAGUCUGUGGCAUUUGUUCUUUUCUUGUUUAUAUUUUCUAGUGUUUAUUUUUACUUUCUUUUAGGAUUGUAGACCCAAUUAGAGAGAUGAGUUUAAUUUUAGGUGGUUAUUAUUUCGGUAUUGCAUACAUUGAGUGGGUUUCAAGAGCAGAUUUGAUCUUUCCCAUACCCUCCUUCGUCACCUUAUAUGUGAUGUAUAGUUCCCCUGCAAUGUAAAUAUUUAUUUUAUGUCUGCUCUUUUGGACAUUGGUGUCUUAUUUGGCAUUGGGAUAUCAUACCCUAAGUUUAUUAAUUAACAACUGCUAACUUUUUAUAACAAUUAUUAA
Non-coding RNA from Carica papaya (papaya), 1763 nucleotides. NCBI's taxonomy places the organism in Eukaryota, Viridiplantae, Streptophyta, Magnoliopsida, Brassicales, Caricaceae. The record is from RefSeq and is a predicted model, not a curated record.